UAGGGAAUUUUCCACAAUGGGCGAAAGCCUGAUGGAGCAACGCCGCGUGCAGGAUGAAUGCCUUCGGGUUGUAAACUGCUUUUCUCUGUGACGAUUAUGACGGUAGCAGAGGAAUAAGGAUCGGCUAACUCCGUGCCAGCAGCCGCGGUCAUACGGAGGAUCCAAGCGUUAUCCGGAAUUACUGGGCGUAAAGAGUUGCGUAGGUGGCAGAGUAAGUUGGUAGUGAAAGCGUGUGGCUCAACCAUACAUCCAUUACCAAAACUGCUCAGCUAGAGGACGAGAGAGGUAGAUGGAAUUCUUGAUGGAGGGGUAAUAUCCGUAGAUAUCAGGAGGAACACCGAUGGCGUAAGCAGUCUACUGGCUCGUUCCUGACACUCAGGCACGAAAGCGUGGGGAGCAAACGGGAUUAGAUACCCGGGUAGUCC
This 425-nucleotide ribosomal RNA is filed under the name uncultured bacterium. RNAcentral's name for it is "bacterial SSU rRNA". It matches the Rfam family "Bacterial small subunit ribosomal RNA", at positions 355 to 796 of the family's 1533-position model. The record is from RNAcentral.